UACGUAGGGUGCAAGCGUUGUCCGGAAUUAUUGGGCGUAAAGAGCUCGUAGGCGGUUUGUCGCGUCUGCUGUGAAAACUGGAGGCUCAACCUCCAGCCUGCAGUGGGUACGGGCAGACUAGAGUGCGGUAGGGGAGAUUGGAAUUCCUGGUGUAGCGGUGGAAUGCGCAGAUAUCAGGAGGAACACCGGUGGCGAAGGCGGGUCUCUGGGCAGUAACUGACGCUGAGGAGCGAAAGCGUGGGGAGCGAACAGG
RNAcentral lists this ribosomal RNA (253 nucleotides) under uncultured bacterium. Its description in RNAcentral is "partial 16S ribosomal RNA". It matches the Rfam family "Bacterial small subunit ribosomal RNA", at positions 524 to 776 of the family's 1533-position model. The record is from RNAcentral.